This 468-nucleotide ribosomal RNA is filed under the name uncultured bacterium. Its description in RNAcentral is "partial 16S ribosomal RNA". It matches the Rfam family "Bacterial small subunit ribosomal RNA", at positions 28 to 507 of the family's 1533-position model. The record is from RNAcentral.
GACGAACGCUGGCGGCGUGCUUAACACAUGCAAGUCGAACGGAAAGGCCCUGCUUUUGUGGGGUGCUCGAGUGGCGAACGGGUGAGUAACACGUGAGUAACCUGCCCUUGACUUUGGGAUAACUUCAGGAAACUGGGGCUAAUACCGGAUAGGAGAUCCUGCUGCAUGGUGGGGGUUGGAAAGUUUCGGCGGUUGGGGAUGGACUCGCGGCUUAUCCGCUUGUUGGUGGGGUAGGGGCUUACCAAGGCUUUGACGGGUAGCCGGCCUGAGCGGGUGACCGGCCACAUUGGGACUGAGAUACGGCCCAGACUCCUACGGGAGGCAGCAGGGGGGAAUAUUGCACAAUGGGCGGAAGCCUGAUGCAGCAACGCCGCGUGCGGGAUGCCGGCCUUCGGGUUGUAAACCGCUUUCGCCUGUGACGAAGCGUGAGUGACGGUAAUGGGUAAAGAAGCACCGGCUAACUACGUG